RNAcentral lists this ribosomal RNA (1893 nucleotides) under Clostridioides difficile. RNAcentral's name for it is "bacterial LSU rRNA". The stretch from base 1037 to 1883 matches the Rfam family "Bacterial large subunit ribosomal RNA", at positions 2045 to 2912 of the family's 2925-position model. Lineage: Bacteria; Bacillati; Bacillota; Clostridia; Peptostreptococcales; Peptostreptococcaceae. The record is from RNAcentral.
GGGAAUAGUUCAGUGGUAGAGCGCAACCUUGCCAAGGUUGAAGUCGCGAGUUCGAAUCUCGUUUCCCGCUCCAAAUUUUAUGUUUAUGUUGUAAUGUGGGUGCAUAGCUCAGCUGGAUAGAGCAACGCCCUUCUAAGGCGUGUGUCCGGGGUUCGAAUCCCUGUGCGCUCACCACAUAUAUAUUGGGGAUUAGCCAAGUCGGUAAGGCACAUGACUUUGACUCAUGUAUGCGUAGGUUCGAGUCCUGCAUCCCCAGCCAAACAGUAUGGUCUAUUAGCUCAGUCGGUAGAGCACCUGACUUUUAAUCAGGGUGUCCCGCGUUCGAGUCGCGGAUAGAUCACCAAUGGAGAGGUGUCCGAGUGGUUUAAGGAGCUGGUCUUGAAAACCAGUGACUUCGAAAGGGGCCGUGGGUUCGAAUCCCACCCUCUCCGCCAAAUGCCCAGAUAGCUCAGUCGGUAGAGCAGGGGACUGAAAAUCCCCGUGUCGGUGGUUCGAUUCCGCCUCUGGGCACCAAAAUAUGGCGGUAUAGCUUAGUUGGCUAGAGCGUUCGGUUCAUACCCGAAAGGUCAUAGGUUCGACUCCUAUUACCGCUACUAAAAUUUAAUGUGGGCCAUUAGCUCAGUUGGUUAGAGCGCCCGGCUCAUAACCGGUAGGUCUGGGGUUCGAGUCCCUGAUGGCCCACCACAUUAAAUUAAUUAAUAUAAAUUCGAGGUGUAGCGCAGUUUGGUAGCGCACAUGGUUUGGGACCAUGGGGCCGGGGGUUCGAGUCCCUUCACCUCGACCAAUAUAAGGUGGGUAUAGCUCAGUUGGUUAGAGCGCCAGAUUGUGGCUCUGGAGGUCGUGAGUUCGACUCUCAUUAUCCACCCCAAUUCAUAUGGUCUAUUAGCUCAGUCGGUAGAGCACCUGACUUUUAAUCAGGGUGUCCCGCGUUCGAGUCGCGGAUAGAUCACCAAAAAGGUGGCGACAUAGCCAAGUGGUAAGGCAGUGGACUGCAACUCCUUGAUCCCCAGUUCGAAUCUGGGUGUCGCCUCCAAAAUAUUCCAAGGUAGCUCAACGGUGGAGCAACCGGCUGUUAACCGGUAGGCUGUGGGUUCGAGCCCCACCCUUGGAGCCAAAAAAGCCGAAGUGGCGGAACUGGCAGACGNAGUUUUGGCGGAGCCAUCCUUGGGAUACCACCCUUGUAGUACUGGGACUCUAACCAUAGGCCAUGAAUCUGGUCUUGGGACACUGUCAGGUGGGCAGUUUGACUGGGGCGGUCGCCUCCCAAAAGGUAACGGAGGCGCUCAAAGGUUCUCUCAGUACGGUCGGAAAUCGUACGUAGAGUGUAAAGGCAAAAGAGAGCUUGAUUGCAAGACAUACAGGUCGAGCAAGGAUGAAAAUCGGACUUAGUGAUCCGGUGGUUCUGCGUGGAAGGGCCAUCGCUCAACGGAUAAAAGCUACCCUGGGGAUAACAGGCUUAUCUCCCCCAAGAGUCCACAUCGACGGGGAGGUUUGGCACCUCGAUGUCGGCUCAUCACAUCCUGGGGCUGUAGUAGGUCCCAAGGGUUGGGCUGUUCGCCCAUUAAAGUGGUACGCGAGCUGGGUUCAGAACGUCGUGAGACAGUUCGGUCCCUAUCCGUCGCAGGCGUAGGAAAUUUGAGAAGACCUGUCCUUAGUACGAGAGGACCGGGAUGGACGUACCUCUGGUGUACCAGUUGUCCUGCCAAGGGCAUGGCUGGGUAGCUAUGUACGGAAUGGAUAAGCGCUGAAAGCAUCUAAGCGCGAAGCCAACUUCAAGAUAAGAUUUCCCACCGCAAGGGUAAGACCCCAGAAAGACUAUCUGGUUGAUAGGUCGAAGGUGUAAGUGCAGCAAUGUAUUUAGCUUAUCGAUACUAAUAGGUCGAGGACUUGACC